RNAcentral lists this transfer RNA (77 nucleotides) under Tissierellia bacterium. RNAcentral's name for it is "tRNA-His". It matches the Rfam family "tRNA". From Rfam's summary of the family: Transfer RNA (tRNA) molecules are approximately 80 nucleotides in length. Lineage: Bacteria; Bacillati; Bacillota; Tissierellia. The record is from RNAcentral.
GUGGGUAUAGCCUAGUUGGUUAGGGAGCCAGAUUGUGGCUCUGGAGAUCGAGGGUUCGACUCCCUUCACCCGCUCCA